Oreochromis aureus is the source of this 1160-nucleotide long non-coding RNA. Lineage: Eukaryota; Metazoa; Chordata; Actinopteri; Cichliformes; Cichlidae. The record is from Ensembl.
CUGGAACCGCCCCCACAGACUGAUGAGUCCGGACCACAAUUUGGGAACCACAGCACGGCGGCAGGGGGGGCUUACCACUACACCGCUACCAUCGCGCGGAAAUAUUUCGGUGCGUCAGAGAACAGACGAUACAAGUUGCUCCGUUUUCCCUCCCCGCUACUUCCCGAUUGUUGUCUCCUCGUACAGUAGCUUCGCCGGCAGAGUGGAGCUGGAGUAGGAGGAGAAGGAGGAGGAGGCGAAGGAGAGAGAGGGGGGGGUCAGACUACUUCCUUUUGCGAGCCCAGCGACGUCUGUUCUCCGUUCAGUGAGCGCGUCUCUCUCUCUCUCCCUCUCUCUCCCCGUUUCAUCCCUUUCCUUUUUUUCUGUAUUUUUUUUUUUUACUUCCCCAUCCCUAUGUACAACCUCCGCGUUUCCAGGCGAGAUGACUGUCAGAACGAGCGCACGAGCGCAUCCCACAGGUGUGUCGCUUGCCAACUGAUCUGCAGCUACGAGACACGCACACCUGGAAACUAACCUACCAUGUGACUCGGCACCUGGGCGUGGAGAAAGUCCCGAAAUUCUAAGCAAAGACACUCUUUUGUUGAAGGAGUUGUUCGCGUCGUCUCUCAGCGGGAAUUGACAAUUCGUUUAACCAAGCAGUCCGGGUUUUGUUUUUCUUUUUUCUACUACGGAAUAGUGCCUUUCUGAAGCCCCCACCUCCUCACAGGAGAGGAGAGUAAAAUGUAAACUUGCUUACGGACGUCUUUCUCCUUUUUUGUAUCGUUCAACCAGGAGGGAGGGGGUAGAUUCUUCAGGAUUUGGAGUGUUCGCGUUUGUGCCACUGUCUUCGCUCUCUCUUUUCCCCCUUUCAAGAGCCCAGGCCCUUAAUGAAGCUGGGGGUCAGCGGUGGUGUGCGGCUAAUUGGCCAAGUUUGCCCGGGGCUCCGGCAGCCUGUGAUUGAAGUGUCCAGCAAGCACCGACUGUGCAGUCACCGCUGCACCCUACUCUGUUUUGCUUCAACAGCCAAGACGCUCGCUGCACCCCUGUCGGCCUCUCCCUAAGGAGUCAGGCUGCAGGCUGACAGGGGAUCCAGCUCACCUUCAGACAAGGCCACCAGACCUUGUCUCACCUUUUUAUUUCUUUUCCUCCCUCAAAAUCCCUCAGCACUUCUUUUUACACAC